RNAcentral lists this transfer RNA (72 nucleotides) under Ornithorhynchus anatinus (platypus). It matches the Rfam family "tRNA". From Rfam's summary of the family: Transfer RNA (tRNA) molecules are approximately 80 nucleotides in length. Their secondary structure includes four short double-helical elements and three loops (D, anti-codon, and T loops). Lineage: Eukaryota; Metazoa; Chordata; Mammalia; Monotremata; Ornithorhynchidae. The record is from Rfam by way of RNAcentral.
GUCAGCGUGGCUCAGUGGAAAGAGCCCGGGCUUGGGAGUCAGAGGUCACGGGUUCGAAUCCCGGCUCUGCCA